This 228-nucleotide ribosomal RNA is filed under the name uncultured bacterium. Its description in RNAcentral is "partial 16S ribosomal RNA". It matches the Rfam family "Bacterial small subunit ribosomal RNA", at positions 565 to 793 of the family's 1533-position model. The record is from RNAcentral.
GCGCAUGCAGGUGGUUUGUUAAGUCAGAUGUGAAAGCCCGGGGCUCAACCUCGGAAUUGCAUUUGAAACUGGCAAACUAGAGUACUGUAGAGGGGGUAGAAUUUCAGGUGUAGCGGUGAAAUGCGUAGAGAUCUGAAGGAAUACCGGUGGCGAAGGCGGCCCCCUGGACAGAUACUGACACUCAGAUGCGAAAGCGUGGGGAGCAAACAGGAUUAGAUACCCUGGUAG